UUGGCUUGUCUUGGGUUACUGUGAGAACA
Molecule: non-coding RNA, 29 nt
Filed under: Rattus norvegicus (Norway rat)
Lineage: Eukaryota; Metazoa; Chordata; Mammalia; Rodentia; Muridae
Source: RNAcentral